AUUGAACGCUGGCGGCAUGCCUUACACAUGCAAGUCGAGCGGCAGCGCGGGGGCAACCCUGGCGGCGAGCGGCGAACGGGUGAGUAAUACAUCGGAACGUGUCCAGUAGCGGGGGAUAACCUGUCGAAAGAUAGGCUAAUACCGCAUACGACCUACGGGUGAAAGCGGGGGACCGCAAGGCCUCGCACUAUUGGAGCGGCCGAUGUCGGAUUAGCUAGUUGGCGGGGUAACGGCCCACCAAGGUGACGAUCCGUAGCUGGUCUGAGAGGACGACCAGCCACACUGGAACUGAGACACGGUCCAGACUCCUACGGGAGGCAGCAGUGGGGAAUUUUGGACAAUGGGCGCAAGCCUGAUCCAGCCAUGCCGCGUGAGUGAAGAAGGCCUUCGGGUUGUAAAGCUCUUUCGGCGGGGACGAAACGGUCCGUGCCAACACCACGGACUAAUGACAGUACUCGCAGAAGAAGCACCGGCUAACUACGUGC
Molecule: ribosomal RNA, 485 nt
Filed under: uncultured bacterium
Lineage: Bacteria
Description: bacterial SSU rRNA
Rfam family: Bacterial small subunit ribosomal RNA
Source: RNAcentral